GGGAAAGUGGCUCAGUGGUAGAGUGCUUGCCUUGCAUGCAUCAGGCCAUGGGUUCGAUUCCCCAGUACCA
RNAcentral lists this transfer RNA (70 nucleotides) under Dipodomys ordii (Ord's kangaroo rat). It matches the Rfam family "tRNA". Rfam says of the family: Transfer RNA (tRNA) molecules are approximately 80 nucleotides in length. Lineage: Eukaryota; Metazoa; Chordata; Mammalia; Rodentia; Heteromyidae. The record is from Rfam by way of RNAcentral.